This is a non-coding RNA of Phrynosoma platyrhinos (Desert horned lizard), 66 nucleotides long. The record is from the annotation of a GenBank genome assembly. NCBI's taxonomy places the organism in Eukaryota, Metazoa, Chordata, Lepidosauria, Squamata, Phrynosomatidae.
GCUAGUGUGGUGUAAUGGUUUGAACACUGGACUCUGGAGACCAGGGUUCAAGUCCCUGCUCUGCCA